UUCCUUUCUUCCUCCCUAAUCUCUCCAUCCUCAACAUAGCGGUUACAAAAAGAUGCUUUCCUGAUUCAAUUCAGCUAUCCUGCCACCCUAACUACUCCCAUUAAAUCAAAAGGAAGCCAAUCAAGCCACUCUUGUUCAAGCCCAUUUAAUUAUUGAGGAUGACUCCAGGAAAUCUAAACCAAGUCAGCUGAAUCAUAAGGGGUCAUUUUACAGAUGAGGGAACUGAGGCAAAUAGACUUAAGUGACAUGCCUACAGUCAACAGCUAGUUCAUCUGUAAAAUGAAGGGCAGUUGACUUCUCAGAUAUGAAUUCAUAUUUCAAUCUAUGACCCUAUAAUGUCCACUGGAAAGGUUAGUAAGUCAGCUUUGAUCUUGGUCUGCCUCUAGUCUGGGUAUAAAAGUAGCUCUUGUUCAGAGAAUGGGAGUGGGAGUUACCUUUCUGGCAGAAGAUUUUGUGGGCAAAGGGAGGAAAUCCAGAAAAGGAAAAAAAUAUUUAUGGUUUUCUUCUUGAUUCGCCUGUCUGGGUGCGGUUUCCCUUCUGUUUGGCUGAUCGAGGUUCUGGGUUUUAUUUGGUUCUGAUCCUUUCCCAGUUAGAGGCAACAAAACAAGUGUAUACCCUCAGAAGAGAAUUACUCACAUGUGGAGUG
Long non-coding RNA from Sarcophilus harrisii (Tasmanian devil), 646 nucleotides. RefSeq lists it as uncharacterized. Lineage: Eukaryota; Metazoa; Chordata; Mammalia; Dasyuromorphia; Dasyuridae. The record is from RefSeq and is a predicted model, not a curated record. The transcript is spliced from 4 exons.